RNAcentral lists this transfer RNA (65 nucleotides) under Glottidia pyramidata. RNAcentral describes it as "tRNA-Trp". It matches the Rfam family "tRNA". From Rfam's summary of the family: Transfer RNA (tRNA) molecules are approximately 80 nucleotides in length. The record is from RNAcentral. Lineage: Eukaryota; Metazoa; Brachiopoda; Lingulata; Lingulida; Lingulidae.
GGGGUUAUAGGUUAGUAAGACCAUAAGUUUCCAAAACUUGAAGUGUGAGUAAAUCACUGACCCCU